This 406-nucleotide ribosomal RNA is filed under the name uncultured bacterium. RNAcentral's name for it is "partial 16S ribosomal RNA". It matches the Rfam family "Bacterial small subunit ribosomal RNA", at positions 29 to 526 of the family's 1533-position model. The record is from RNAcentral.
AGUGAACGCUGGCGGCGCGCUUAACACAUGCAAGUCGAGCGAAGCGGCGGACGGGUGAGUAACACGUGAGUAACCUGCCUUAGACAUUGGGAUAGCCUCGGGAAACCGGGAUUAAUACCAAAUGGUCUAAGAUGGACUCGCGUGCCAUUAGCUAGUUGGUGGGUAACGGCCCACCAAGGCGACGAUGGGUAGCCGGGCUUGGAGGGUGAACGGCCACAUUGGAACUGAGAAACGGUGCAAAAUCUACGGGAGGGAGCAGUGGGGAAUAUUGCACAGUGGAGGGAACUCUGAUGCAGCGACGCGGCGUAACCGAAGAAGGCUUUCGAGUCGUAAAGUUCUUUUAUAUGGGAAGCGGUACCAUAAGAAAAAGCCCCGGCUAACUACGUGCCAGCAGCCGCGGUAAUAC